GCACGAGACUCCACCCAACUCCUCCGAUAGGGAAAAAAAAACACGCCUCCCCGCUCGGCCUCCUAGUGGAUGGCGGAGGCACUGCCGUGGCGGCCGUGGCGCUGCCGGCGGCGACGGGGCGUCCCUAUUUCCCUUGCUCCCGAGCUCGUCUCCCCAAACUCCUUCCCCUUCCCAACCUGCUCCCCUUUCCCAUGCUCUUCGCGACGGCGAGCAGGGCAAGGCGGCCGGGCGCGCCUACCUCAGCCCCUCCCUUCCUCGACCUCCCUCUUCCUCUCCUCCUGCGUCCCCGAGGGCUACAAGCCCCGCCGGCCUGCUGGCCGCGCAGGACCGCCCGUCCCAUGCUCACGCACGCGGCUGGGGGCGGCGCGCAUGGAUCUGCUUGUGGAGCAUGGGCCCGGCGCGGCUCUGGCCGCGAGGGGCGCGCGGCUCCGGCCGCUCGAGCCACCUCGGCUCUCCUCUCUCACCCCUCUCUCACCCUAGAUCCAGUACUCCAACCACAAAAAUCAAAAGGAACGAAGCCCGGCUGCUCCCCACCGGCUCGCGCCCCGACCCUCUCUGCCGCCACCUCUCGGUCCGCCGCUGCGUCUCGUCGGGGAGGAGGAGGAUAUGGCUGCCGCCGCCUUUGCUGCAGGCCGGGUCCUGCUCCUGCACGGCCAGCACCAGUGGCCGCGACAGCGGUGUGCGGCCGUGUUCAGAAAGGCGAUCACAGGAACGUCAGUCACCAGCUCGCGGCCACGCUGGUGACGUUCCUGUCGAGGGCGACCGCAUACGCACACCAUCCAUCCGCUCCUACACCUCUACGGCGGGAUUCAGCAAGAAAGCAGACGGAAGCGGAUAAACAACAUGGCAAUGCCACUACUGAUCGUGCCCGCCCAUGAACCAGUCGGAAGCAGCCUUGGCAUUUAAGCCUAAAAAAUCAAUCUGGUUCUCCGCUGCAACAUAUGUUCUUUACAUUUUUACCUGAGGUGAAGUACUCUACAGAACUACUGGCACAUGUGUAUGACAAAUUUUCCAGUUUUACCUCUUCCUAUUUUUUUAUUUUGUUCUUUACCUCUUCCUAUUUUUUUAUUUUUUCCGUGGUGCCUGCCAUUCCCUUUUUAUUAUGUCAAUGCAGCAAUAGCCCCUACUUCUAGCUUCUAUUUUCUAGUAGGGACUACUCCAGAAAGCUAUGAUUUUUUCCUUCAACUCCACAGGGUCUGUUUAGAUCAGUUUGCAAAAACGCUGUAAACGCAAAGAUACCAAAGAAAUUUAAAGUACUAAAUGAAAUCUAUUUACAAAAUUUUUUGCAUGGAUGGAUUGUAAAUCGCGAGACGAAUCUAAUGAGCCUACUUAAUCCAUGUUUUGCAAUAGUGAUGCUAUAGUAACCAUCAACUAAUUAUUGCUUAAUCAUGGAUUAAUUAGCAUCAUUAGAUUUGUCUCGUGAUUUACAACCCAUCCAUGCAAAAAGUUUUACAAAUAGACUUCAUUUAGUACUUCAAAUUGGUAAGAUUCCUUUGUAAAUUUUUUUUUACGUUUUUCAAACUGAUCUAAACAGGCCCCAACAGUCUCUACAUUUUAGCCCCUACUCUUCUGUGACAGGUGGGCCUGUCAGUCUCAUCUGCAUUAUUUUUACUUUUUUUUUCCUUUUUUCCUCCUGAAGCAUCCCACCCCGAUGCAUCUCUCCCUCUCCCGACGCCUCUGUCCUGUCUCUCUCUCCCCAAACGCAGCUUUCGUCUCUCCCCCUAAACGCAUAUCUCUCUCUCGUCCCUCUCCCUUUCCCUAGACGGAUCUCUCUCUCGUCUCCCUCCCUCUUCCCCGACGGAUCUCUCUCUCGUCUCCCUCUCCCCCAACACAUCUCUCCCAUGGCCGGUGGGCGGUGGCUCCAUGGCCGAGCUCGGGCGGCGGCACGUGGGGGAGGGUCGCGGGGCUCCAUGGCCGAGCUCGGGCAGCGCUUCGGGUAGGCCCGGUUCCAACUUCCAUGGCCAAGAUCGGGUGGUGCUCAGGGUAUAUUUGCGGGGUUCCAUGGCCAAGAUCGGGCGGCACUCGAGGUAGACCUGCGGGGCUCCAUGGCCCAGCUCAGGAAACGCUCGGGCGGGCCGUGGUGCUCCAUGGCCGAGCUCGGCGGGGCUCCAUGGCCGAGCUCCAGCAGGGCUCCUCGCACGCACGCACCGAGUAGGGGCCUCCCUUCCCACCUGUGGGAGAAGGGGUUACGAGAGGAAAUCUGAGUGCCUCGCUACUGUAGGGACCCAAUUAGAGAUCUUGCUGGAGUGAAUUUUUUCAUCCUCGGUCCCUACUUUAUAGGUUAUAAGUAGGGAUCUUGCUGGAGUUGCUUUAGUCUAGCAAUUUGAAAUUGUCUAUUGCUAUAUGGAAUUGCUGAAUAAGAAUCUUUAGCUAUUUGAAA
Long non-coding RNA from Panicum hallii, 2380 nucleotides. RefSeq lists it as uncharacterized. NCBI's taxonomy places the organism in Eukaryota, Viridiplantae, Streptophyta, Magnoliopsida, Poales, Poaceae. The transcript has 2 exons. The record is from RefSeq and is a predicted model, not a curated record.